CACAACUGUCCAAUUGUCCAGCCUCCAAUGAAAUCCACACAGAGAAUAGACUGCAACUGCUAGGGUUUCUCUCUUGUGCCAGCAAGAAUAAUGAAUACCUUAUGAACCUCAAACCCUAACUGUGUAUAUAUAUAAACCCAAACGGACCCGGCCCGGUCCGGUCCAAUAUUUAAUUAAUCCAAUUAAUUAAAUCCGGUCCGUGAAUUA
This 207-nucleotide long non-coding RNA is filed under the name Olea europaea (common olive). Its description in RNAcentral is "long non-coding RNA (OEUR_LNC008407)". The record is from RNAcentral. Lineage: Eukaryota; Viridiplantae; Streptophyta; Magnoliopsida; Lamiales; Oleaceae.